UACGUAGGGUGCAAGCGUUGUCCGGAAUUAUUGGGCGUAAAGAGCUCGUAGGUGGUCUGUCGCGUCGGCUGUGAAAACUCGGGGCUCAACCCCGAGCCUGCAGUCGAUACGGGCAGACUAGAGUGCUGUAGGGGAGACUGGAAUUCCUGGUGUAGCGGUGAAAUGCGCAGAUAUCAGGAGGAACACCGAUGGCGAAGGCAGGUCUCUGGGCCACUACUGACGCUGAGAAGCGGAAAGCAUGGGGAGCGAACAGG
RNAcentral lists this ribosomal RNA (254 nucleotides) under uncultured bacterium. RNAcentral describes it as "partial 16S ribosomal RNA". It matches the Rfam family "Bacterial small subunit ribosomal RNA", at positions 524 to 776 of the family's 1533-position model. The record is from RNAcentral.